GACGAACGCUGGCGGCGUGCUUAACACAUGCAAGUCGAACGGAAAGGCCCUGCUUUUGUGGGGUGCUCGAGUGGCGAACGGGUGAGUAACACGUGAGUAACCUGCCCUUGACUUUGGGAUAACUUCAGGAAACUGGGGCUAAUACCGGAUAGGAGCUCCUGCUGCAUGGUGGGGGUUGGAAAGUUUAGGCGGUUGGGGAUGGACUGGCGGCUUAUCAGCUUGUUGGUGGGGUAGUUGCUUACCAAGGCUUUGACGGGUAGCCGGCCUGAGAGGGUGACCGGCGACAUGGGGACUGAGAGACGGCGCAGACUCCUACGGGAGGCAGCAGUGGGGAAUAUUGCACAAUGGGCGGAGGCCUGAUGCAGCAACGCUGCGUGCGGGAUGACGGCCUUCGGGUUGUAAAACGCUUUCGCCUGUGACGAAGCGUGAGUGACGGUAAUGGGUAAAGAAGCACCGGCUAACUACGUG
Molecule: ribosomal RNA, 468 nt
Filed under: uncultured bacterium
Lineage: Bacteria
Description: partial 16S ribosomal RNA
Rfam family: Bacterial small subunit ribosomal RNA
Source: RNAcentral